Molecule: transfer RNA, 77 nt
Filed under: Clostridiaceae bacterium
Lineage: Bacteria; Bacillati; Bacillota; Clostridia; Eubacteriales; Clostridiaceae
Also listed under: 4 other names
Description: tRNA-Met
Rfam family: tRNA
About the family: Transfer RNA (tRNA) molecules are approximately 80 nucleotides in length.
Source: RNAcentral
GGCGGCAUAGCUCAGUUGGCUAGAGUACUCGGUUCAUACCCGAUUGGUCGUAGGUUCGAAUCCCACUGCCGCUACCA